AACGAACGCUGGCGGCAUGCCUAACACAUGCAAGUCGAACGAGACCUUCGGGUCUAGUGGCGCACGGGUGCGUAACGCGUGGGAACCUGCCUUUAGGUUCGGAAUAACUCAGAGAAAUUUGAGCUAAUACCGGAUGAUGUCUUCGGACCAAAGAUUUAUCGCCUUUAGAUGGGCCCGCGUUGGAUUAGCUAGUUGGUGGGGUAAAGGCCUACCAAGGCGACGAUCCAUAGCUGGUCUGAGAGGAUGAUCAGCCACACUGGGACUGAGACACGGCCCAGACUCCUACGGGAAGCAGCAGUGGGGAAUAUUGGACAAUGGGCGAAAGCUUGAUCCAGCAAUGCCGCGUGAGUGAUGAAGGCCUUAGGGUUGUAAAGCUCUUUUACCCGAGAUGAUAAUGACAGUAUCGGGAGAAUAAGCUCCGGCUAACUCCGUG
This 433-nucleotide ribosomal RNA is filed under the name uncultured bacterium. RNAcentral describes it as "partial 16S ribosomal RNA". It matches the Rfam family "Bacterial small subunit ribosomal RNA", at positions 29 to 507 of the family's 1533-position model. The record is from RNAcentral.